GGAAAUCUCACCAGGCCCGGACACUGGAAGGAUUGACAGAUUGAUAGCUCUUUCUUGAUUCGGUGGGUGGUGGUGCAUGGCCGUUCUUAGUUGGUUGAGUGAUUUGUCUGGUUAAUUCCGUUAACGAACGAGACCUUAACCUGCUAAAUAGUGACGCGGUUCAUCGAACCGUGGGCCACUUCUUAGAGGGACUAUCGGAUUCAAACCGAUGGAAGUGUGAGGCAAUAA
This 228-nucleotide ribosomal RNA is filed under the name uncultured eukaryote. RNAcentral describes it as "partial 18S ribosomal RNA". It matches the Rfam family "Eukaryotic small subunit ribosomal RNA", at positions 1208 to 1456 of the family's 1831-position model. The record is from RNAcentral.